AUAAAAAAUAUUUUCAGAGGAUUUCAAUAAAAUUUUAUGUGGACUCUAAUGAAAUGUCAAAAAUAAAUUGUUGUGUGGUAAGUUGUUCCUAACAGGAAUUUAAAGGAAGAAUCAUCAGUCCAAUGCUCCUUGAAUGAGAAAAGAGGACGACAGGAAAAUCGAGGUCGUAUCUUUUGUUUAUUAAAACUGGUCAUCAUUUUAAAAAGUUCAUCAACCGUUAUCAGAUUCUAGCUUGACGUAUCCGGGACAAAUUACUACGAAAAAUUCUUGGAGUUGUUCGUCCUGAUGCGGUCCCGGGUUCUCAAAAUGCAGAUCGACCACAAUGAAAAUGAAGAACAAUGAAUUCAGGCCAUUCUCCCUAAGUAAUAAACGGAAGUUAACGGGAAGUGAAGAAAAGAAUCAAAGGAUUUUUUUACUGACGUUCUCGACAAUGAAAAACGAAAAUAACAAGUUGAAACACGAUUCAAGUAUACAGUAGUUUAUUCAUCUAAACCAG
Centruroides sculpturatus (bark scorpion) is the source of this 496-nucleotide long non-coding RNA. RefSeq lists it as uncharacterized. The record is from RefSeq and is a predicted model, not a curated record. The transcript has 7 exons. NCBI's taxonomy places the organism in Eukaryota, Metazoa, Arthropoda, Arachnida, Scorpiones, Buthidae.